This is a non-coding RNA of Pelobates cultripes (western spadefoot toad), 290 nucleotides long. NCBI's taxonomy places the organism in Eukaryota, Metazoa, Chordata, Amphibia, Anura, Pelobatidae. The record is from the annotation of a GenBank genome assembly.
GUUUACUUUGUGUCCAUCAUUCAUUACCUGUGUGUUGCAGGACAGGAUCCUCCCAGAGUGUGUCUGUAUGUUUCAGGUAAGAAACUUUACUUUCUUUUAGUAGUUACAUGGUCUGACAGGAGUGUUUUAUUAACUGUUUAUGUGCCAAAAGGGUGUUACCGUAACUGUAUGUGUGCCAGAUGGUUGCAAUAGUUAACUGUGUGUGUGCCAGAGAGGCAGACACUAAGCUAUUAACUGUUUGUGUGCCAGGAAGAAGUGAAGUUUUAACUGUUUGUUUGCCAGGAGUGGAG